This 506-nucleotide ribosomal RNA is filed under the name Hylomus specialis. RNAcentral describes it as "partial large subunit ribosomal RNA". The stretch from base 380 to 506 matches the Rfam family "Bacterial large subunit ribosomal RNA", at positions 2473 to 2600 of the family's 2925-position model. Lineage: Eukaryota; Metazoa; Arthropoda; Diplopoda; Polydesmida; Paradoxosomatidae. The record is from RNAcentral.
UGUCUAUUGAAUAAGAAUAAUAGAUAAAUUCUGCUCUCUGCCUAAAUCGUAAAGGGCUGCAGUAUUUUGACUGUAUUAAGGUAGCAUAAUCAUUAGUUUCUUAAUUAGAAGCUGGUAUGAAAGGCAAAACUAAAAAAUUUUAUAUUUUAGAAAAAGGUGAAUUUUGUUAUUUUGUGAAAAAACGAAAUUAGGUUAAGGGACAAGAAGACCCUAAAAAUUUAAUUUUUCUAUAAAAUUAUUAUUAAGGGGUUAAAUAAAUAAAUAGUAUAAAAGAAGAGUUUAUCUGGGGCGGUGUGUUUAAAACAGAAUUUAAAUAUAAAGUAAGAUUUUGCGAUUUAGUAGAACUUAUUAGGUUGAAUAAGGGAAAAAUUACUUUAGGGAUAACAGCGUUAUUAUUUUGGAGAGUUCAUAUUGAUAAAAUAGAUUGCGACCUCGAUGUUGGAUUAGGAUAAAUUUUUGGUGCAGAAGUUGAGGGAUUUAGUCUGUUCGACUAUUAAAAUCCUACA